Molecule: ribosomal RNA, 448 nt
Filed under: uncultured bacterium
Lineage: Bacteria
Description: SSU rRNA
Rfam family: Bacterial small subunit ribosomal RNA
Source: RNAcentral
AGGAUGAACGCUGGCGGUCUGCUUAACACAUGCAAGUCGAACGGAGUACCUCGGUACUUAGUGGCGGACGGGUGAGUAACGCGUGAGAAUCUGCCCUUAGGUCGGGGACAACCAUUGGAAACGAUGGCUAAUACCGGAUAAGCCGAGAGGUAAAAGAUUAAUUGCCUAGGGAAGAGCUCGCGUCUGAUUAGCUAGUUGGUGAGGUAAAGGCUCACCAAGGCAUCGAUCAGUAGCUGGUCUGAGAGGAUGAUCAGCCACACUGGGACUGAGACACGGCCCAGACUCCUACGGGAGGCAGCAGUGGGGAAUUUUCCGCAAUGGGCGAAAGCCUGACGGAGCAAGACCGCGUGAGGGAGGAAGGCUCUUGGGUUGUAAACCUCUUUUCUUGGGGAAGACAAAUGACGGUACCCAAGGAAUCAGCAUCGGCUAACUCCGUGCCAGCAGCCGC